GUUAUAGUUAAGCAUUGAGGUCUACUACAUAGUUGAUACUGUAGGACAGGCUACAGAAAUAAGAAAACUGGUCUCUCUCAUCAGCAAUAGUGUGGCAAUUCUAAAAUUUCAACAUGCGGCCUACACAGCUAGCUCAUGUGGAGAAGAGAUAUGAGACUGAUUGCGAAUAAAUGUACACUUAGUUUAGUGCAGCAUGGAUCUACAAAGUGAAAUAUAUGUACCAAAAAUAUUAGUUUAUUCAAAACUAAGCCUUUUUCAGCACUGCAGUCAACAGAACAGUGAUAGUGACAAGAAUUGAGACUAUUUAAUACCUCAAACAAUGGAAAAAUACUUCCUGAGAUCAGUUGUCUACUACAUAGUUGAUACUGUAGGACAGGCUACAGAAAUAAGAAAACUGGUCUCUCUCAUCAGCAAUAGUGUGGCAAUUCUAAAAUUUCAACAUGCGGCCUACACAGCUAGCUCAUGUGGAGAAGAGAUAUGAGACUGAUUGCGAAUAAAUGUACACUUAGUUUAGUGCAGCAUGGAUCUACAAAGUGAAAUAUAUGUACCAAAAAUAUUAGUUUAUUCAAAACUAAGCCUUUUUCAGCACUGCAGUCAACAGAACAGUGAUAGUGACAAGAAUUGAGACUAUUUAAUACCUCAAACAAUGGAAAAAUACUUCCUGAGAUCAGUUGUCUACUACAUAGUUGAUACUGUAGGACAGGCUACAGAAAUAAGAAAACUGGUCUCUCUCAUCAGCAAUAGUGUGGCAAUUCUAAAAUUUCAACAUGCGGCCUACACAGCUAGCUCAUGUGGAGAAGAGAUAUGAGACUGAUUGCGAAUAAAUGUACACUUAGUUUAGUGCAGCAUGGAUCUACAAAGUGAAAUAUAUGUACCAAAAAUAUUAGUUUAUUCAAAACUAAGCCUUUUUCAGCACUGCAGUCAACAGAACAGUGAUAGUGACAAGAAUUGAGACUAUUUAAUACCUCAAACAAUGGAAAAAUACUUCCUGAGAUCAGUUGUCUACUACAUAGUUGAUACUGUAGGACAGGCUACAGAAAUAAGAAAACUGGUCUCUCUCAUCAGCAAUAGUGUGGCAAUUCUAAAAUUUCAACAUGCGGCCUACACAGCUAGCUCAUGUGGA
Mytilus californianus (California mussel) is the source of this 1123-nucleotide long non-coding RNA. RefSeq lists it as uncharacterized. Lineage: Eukaryota; Metazoa; Mollusca; Bivalvia; Mytilida; Mytilidae. The transcript is spliced from 5 exons. The record is from RefSeq and is a predicted model, not a curated record.